Molecule: ribosomal RNA, 313 nt
Filed under: uncultured eukaryote
Lineage: Eukaryota
Description: partial 18S ribosomal RNA
Rfam family: Eukaryotic small subunit ribosomal RNA
Source: RNAcentral
CCCUUAGAUGUUCUGGGCCGCACGCGCGCUACACUGACGGAGUCAACGAGUUGUCCUGCAUCGGAAGGUGUGGGUAAUCUUUUGAAACUUCGUCGUGCUGGGGAUAGAUCUUUGCAAUUUUCGAUCUUGAACGAGGAAUUCCUAGUAAGCGUGAUUCAUCAGAUCGCGUUGAUUACGUCCCUGCCCUUUGUACACACCGCCCGUCGCUACUACCGAUUGAAUGGUCCGGUGAAGCCUCCGGAUUGGCGCGCACCUCGGUGCCGCCGAGAAGUUGGCUAAACCUUACCAUUUAGAGGAAGGUGAAGUCGUAACA